UUCCGUUCAUGGAUCAAUUAAGGCUGCAACUCCCCCUUAUGAGUCUUUUUAGAUUCAUGAACAUGGCCAUGUAGAACAACAGUUGCAUGUUAAUUAGGCACCUAAAAAUGAAUGUAAGCUUCUAUUUGAGUUCCAAGACCGCACUAGAAGUAAGCCAUUCAUAUUUGAACUCUAAUGUAGCUGAUCUCGAGGGAGUUGCUUAUCCUAGAGUUAGAA
RNAcentral lists this long non-coding RNA (216 nucleotides) under Elaeis guineensis (African oil palm). RNAcentral's name for it is "long non-coding RNA (EGUI_LNC038444)". Lineage: Eukaryota; Viridiplantae; Streptophyta; Magnoliopsida; Arecales; Arecaceae. The record is from RNAcentral.